UCAUCGGAGCAUCGGAGACAGGUGGUGCAUGGUAGUCGUCAGCUCGUGUCGUGAGAUGUUGGGUUAAGUCCCGCAACGAGCGCAACCCUUAUGCUUAGUUGCCAGCACAUUAUGGUGGGCACUCUAAGCAGACUGCCUGUGACAAACCGGAGGAAGGUGCGGAUGACGUCAAAUCAUCAUGCCCCUUAUGACCUGGGCUACACACGUACUACAAUGGCCCGUACAACGGGCUGCGAAAUCGCAAGGUGGAGCGAAUCCGAACAAAGCCGGUCUCAGUUCGGAUUGCAGGCUGCAACUCGCCUGCAUGAAGUCGGAAUUGCUAGUAAUCGCGGAUCAGCAUGCCGCGGUCAAUACGUUCCCGGGUCUUGAACACACCGCCCGUCAGACCUCCAGAGUUUACAACACCCGUAGUCGGUGGGGUAACCCGCAAGGGUGCCAGC
RNAcentral lists this ribosomal RNA (440 nucleotides) under uncultured Paenibacillus sp. RNAcentral's name for it is "bacterial SSU rRNA". It matches the Rfam family "Bacterial small subunit ribosomal RNA", at positions 1017 to 1453 of the family's 1533-position model. The record is from RNAcentral. Lineage: Bacteria; Bacillati; Bacillota; Bacilli; Caryophanales; Paenibacillaceae.